CUUGACUCUAGUCUGGCACUGUGAGGAGACACGAGAGGUGUAGCAUAAGUGGGAGGUCGGCGCCCCCGCGAGGGGGCCCGGCCGGCCUUGAAAUACCACUACUCGCGUAGUUUCCUCACUUACUCGGUCAGGCGGGAGGCGCGCGCCGUUCCUCGCGUUCGGCGCGCGGUCUUCUGGAGCCAAGGCCGCCGCGGGUUCUCCUCGGCGGCCGACCCGAUCCGAGGACACUGCCAGGCCGGGAGUUUGACUGGGGCGGUACAUCUGUCAAAGAAUAACGCAGGUGUCCUAAGGCCAGCUCAGCGAGGACAGAAACCUCGCGUGGAGCAAAAGGGCAAAUGCUGGCUUGAUCCCGAUGUCCAGUGAGCAUAGGGACUGCGAAAGCACGGCCUAUCGAUCCUUUUGGCUCGGAGAGUUUCCGGCAAGAGGUGUCAGAAAAGUUACCACAGGGA
Molecule: ribosomal RNA, 449 nt
Rfam family: Eukaryotic large subunit ribosomal RNA